Molecule: transfer RNA, 83 nt
Filed under: Candidatus Portnoybacteria bacterium CG10_big_fil_rev_8_21_14_0_10_38_18
Lineage: Bacteria; Candidatus Portnoyibacteriota
Description: tRNA-Ser
Rfam family: tRNA
About the family: Transfer RNA (tRNA) molecules are approximately 80 nucleotides in length. Their secondary structure includes four short double-helical elements and three loops (D, anti-codon, and T loops).
Source: RNAcentral
GGAGAGUUGGCAGAAUGGCUAAUGCGCCCGCCCCGAAAGCGGGUGGGAGAAAUCCCUUGCAGGUUCGAGUCCUGCACUCUCCG